This 736-nucleotide ribosomal RNA is filed under the name uncultured bacterium. RNAcentral describes it as "bacterial SSU rRNA". It matches the Rfam family "Bacterial small subunit ribosomal RNA", at positions 474 to 1207 of the family's 1533-position model. The record is from RNAcentral.
GGUACCGACAGAAAAAGCACCGGCUAACUACGUGCCAGCAGCCGCGGUAAUACGUAGGGUGCGAGCGUUAAUCGGAAUUACUGGGCGUAAAGGGUGCGCAGGCGGUCUUGCAAGUCAGAUGUGAAAGCCCCGGGCUUAACCUGGGAAUUGCGUUUGAAACUACAAGGCUAGAGUGCAGCAGAGGGGAGUGUAAUUCCAUGUGUAGCAGUGAAAUGCGUAGAGAUGUGGAAGAACACCGAUGGCGAAGGCAGCUCCCUGGGUUGACACUGACGCUCAUGCACGAAAGCGUGGGGAGCAAACAGGGUUAGAUACCCUGGUAGUCCACGCCCUAAACGAUGUCAACUAGUUGUCGGAUCUAAUUAAGGAUUUGGUAACGUAGCUAACGCGUGAAGUUGACCGCCUGGGGAGUACGGUCGCAAGAUUAAAACUYAAAKGAAUUGACGGGGACCCGCACAAGCGGUGGAUUAUGUGGAUUAAUUCGAUGCAACGCGAAAAACCUUACCUACCCUUGACAUGCUUGGAAUCUAAUGGAGACAUAAGAGUACCCGAAAGGGAGCCAAGACACAGGUGCUGCAUGGCUGUCGUCAGCUCGUGUCGUGAGAUGUUGGGUUAAGUCCCGCAACGAGCGCAACCCUUGUCACUAAUUGCUAUCAUUUUUAAUGAGCACUUUAGUGAGACUGCCGGUGACAAACCGGAGGAAGGUGGGGAUGACGUCAAGUCCUCAUGGCCCUUAUGG